AAUUCGCACCGUUGCAGCCAUUUUAAUCUAGACUUCAGUUGCUACUGGACCGGAUGAUCCUUGCUUAAAACCGUUGAAAGCAAGGUGUUGUACUGACUCUUCGGUUGCCUAGGCAAAGCUCCCCCCUCCUCCUCUUCCUCCCUGCAUCACAUGCAAUCAGGAGCGGAGAUCUUCUCAUUAAGGUUUCGAGGCUGAAGUUUGGCAACUCGAACCUUCAGCUCCCUCCACAGAUUUUCUAUGGGAUUAAGGUCUGGAGACUGGCUAGGCCACUCCAGGACCUUAAUGUGCUUCUUCUUGAGCCACUCCUUUGUUGCCUUGGCCGUGUGUUUUGGGUCAUUGUCAUGCUGGAAUACCCAUCCACGACCCAUUUUCAAUGCCCUGGCUGAGGGAAGGAGGUUCUCACCCAAGAUUUGACAGUACAUGGCACCGUCAUCAUCCCUUUGAUGCGGUGAAGUUGUCCUGUCCCCUUAGCAGAAAAACACCCCCAAAGCAUAAUGUUUCCACCUCCAUGUUUGACUGUGGGGAUGGUGUUCUUGGGGUCAUAGGCAGCAUUUGUAUAUACAUUUGUAUAUGCCCUCCUCCAAACAUGGCGAGUUGAGUUGAUGUCAAAGAGCUCCAUUUUGGUCUCAUCUGACCACAACACUUUCACCAGUUGUCCUCUGAAUCAUUCAGAUGUUCAUUGGCAAACUUCAGACGGGCAUGUAUAUGUAUUCU
RNAcentral lists this long non-coding RNA (714 nucleotides) under Salmo salar (Atlantic salmon). RNAcentral's name for it is "lncRNA (ENSSSAG00000084148.1)". Lineage: Eukaryota; Metazoa; Chordata; Actinopteri; Salmoniformes; Salmonidae. The record is from RNAcentral.